This 350-nucleotide unclassified non-coding RNA is filed under the name soil metagenome. Its description in RNAcentral is "partial contains 5.8S ribosomal RNA, internal transcribed spacer 2, and large subunit ribosomal RNA". The stretch from base 1 to 120 matches the Rfam family "5.8S ribosomal RNA", at positions 35 to 154 of the family's 154-position model. The record is from RNAcentral.
GAUGAAGAACGUAGUGAAAUGCGAUAAGUAAUGUGAAUUGCAGAAUUCAGUGAAUCAUCGAAUCUUUGAACGCACAUUGCGCCCGCCAGUAUUCUGGCGGGCAUGCCUGUCCGAGCUUCAUUUCAACCCUCGAACCCCUCCGGGGGGUCGGCGUUGGGGAUCGGCCCUUUACGGGGCCGGCCCCGAAAUACAGUGGCGGUCUCGCCGCAGCCUCUCCUGCGCAGUAGUUUGCACACUCGCAUCGGGAGCGCGGCGCGUCCACAGCCGUUAAACACCCCAAACUUCUGAAAUGUUGACCUCGGAUCAGGUAGGAAUACCCGCUGAACUUAAGCAUAUCAAUAAGCGGAGGA